GAUGAACGCUGGCGGCGUGCCUAAUACAUGCCAGUCGAGCGAACGGACGAGAAGCUUGCUGCUCUGAUGUUAGCGGCGGACGGGUGAGUAACACGUGGAUAACCUACCUAUAAGACUGGGAUAACUUCGGGAAACCGGAGCUAAUACCGGAUGAUAUUUUGAACCGCAUGGUUCAAAAGUGAAAGACGGUCUUGCUGUCACUUAUAGAUGGAUCCGCGCUGCAUUAGCUAGUUGGUAAGGUAACGGCUUACCAAGGCAACGAUGCAUAGCCGACCUGAGAGGGUGAUCGGCCACACUGGAACUGAGACACGGUCCAGACUCCUACGGGAGGCAGCAGUAGGGAAUCUUCCGCAAUGGGCGAAAGCCUGACGGAGCAACGCCGCGUGAGUGAUGAAGGUCUUCGGAUCGUAAAACUCUGUUAUUAGGGAAGAACAUAUGUGUAAGUAACUGUGCACAUCUUGACGGUACCUAAUCAGAAAGCCACGGCUAACUACGUG
This 497-nucleotide ribosomal RNA is filed under the name uncultured bacterium. Its description in RNAcentral is "partial 16S ribosomal RNA". It matches the Rfam family "Bacterial small subunit ribosomal RNA", at positions 28 to 507 of the family's 1533-position model. The record is from RNAcentral.